UUGACAUAACCAGUAUGGUAUCAUCUACUUUUGAGCACAGUGAACACUUAGGGUGAAAUUAAACUACAAUAGAAAUUAUUAUAUGAAUGACAAUUGUGUAAUAUUUACUAAGCUGCAGGAUUAGGAGUACUAAAAUCUGCAUAAGGUUAUUCAAGUCUUGUUGAGUUUGAAAAUAUCGGAGCUAUUACAGAUACAAAACAUAAUUGUCCUGCUGAUCGAUAUUUGAAGUAAACUAAAUAGAAAUGAAUAUUGAUUUGGUUUUACGCAAUUAUUAUUUCAUUCGUAUGGAUUAAACCGCCAUUUUGAACAAUUAUUAGAUACGAAAAUGAAUUAUGAGGAAACUGUCAAUUUCAUUAAACUGUUCUUGUUGUUAAUGAACGGCGGGACGUUUUUACUUAGGACGUUGAUUUAUAAACUCACUUCAGAAUCUGGAAAAUCAUUAGAUGAUCUUUUAUUGCAAAAUCGUGACUCCUUGGACGACAAGUUAAAGAAGAAUAGGAAGCAAUUUGAUCUGUUGUUUCCAGGAAGCUCUCAGAAUGCAGAUAUUGAACAGUGGGAUAUUUCAUUACUAACAUUUGUUUUACUUAAUGUGUUUAAAGGAUUGUUCGAUAGUCAAGAGAUAGCAGCAAUAAAAGUUAUUAGAGAUCACAGAAAUAAAAUUUUGGCUCAUAAUGCAAAAUCAGAAAUUACUCUUAAAGAUUUUAUGUCAGCCUGGAUCCAGGUCUCUAGCGCUCUUACAAAUUUAUCUACAACAGUGACACCGGAAGACCAAAAGGAAUUGAAACAGAUUGAGUCAACUAUAUUUAAAGAUCCCUUUCAAAAGGAACUAGUUGGACAACUAAAUGAGAUUGGAAAAACAGAUAUAUUAUUAAAGGCUGUAAUAGAAAAUGUCAUGCCAUUAAUAAAAGACAGAAUAUCAGAAUCUGAGAAGAAAACACAAGAAGAGAUUAAUAAAUGUAUUGAACAACUGACGGAAAUUAAGAAAGAACAAAAGAAACAAGGUAACCAGAUAGCCCUUCUGGUUAGAAUGGAUUUCAGCACAAAUAGUACAAGAAGCAGACGACAAGUUCAGGAACACAUAAAAGAAGCGUCUGAUAAUAUUAUCAAAGGAGGCUUCGAUUUUGACAGCUCUAAUGAUGAAGUUUCAUCAGCUGUUGGAAUCCUUUUCAAAGGAAUGGAAAAACAGGGUAUUAAAGUUGUUAAGGCAGAGAAAGGAUCCAUUCUGUUUACAUUAUUGUGUCCAACAGUAAAGUCUUUGCGAGACGUAACACUAUACCUGGAAAGCCCACAAAUACAACCAAGGUUAUCAUACAUUGAGAAAGCUGUGGAAAUAUGUCACUCUUGCGUAGCAAAAAUAACAAUAAAUGUAGAUCUAAAGAGUCUCCAGUGUGCCACAAAGAAAGCAGGGAAAGGGUCAGUCUAUCUAACACUCGAAUGCAACGAUGAAGCUGGAGUAAGGAGUGCUUUUAAACUAUUUGAAAACGGCGACUCGCCUAACACACUUAAUAAAUUGUCGGAGGCACUUUCACGAGAAGUCGGGACAAAAGUAGAGCUUCAAACAGGGAUUGACAUUGAAAAGAUGAAAGACACUAUGGAAAAGGCACAAGCAUCCACAAACCUAUUAAUGCAUUCGACGGAUUAUGAGGUAAGCAACGAUGGCAAGACCAGAAUCUCCGAAGAGUUAACAGAACUUUCAGCUGAUAAUACAUCAAACCAGCAAAAGGAAGUUGCUGACGACCUGCAAAAGCUAAAAGACACUAACCUGUUUGAAACAGAAGAAACGACAGAAUAUAAAGAUUUAGUUAGUAAGGUGCUACGCAUUAAACAGCAAGCCUUGAAGCUGGAUAUUUCAGUGAAUCAAAACUUAACAGAAGAGAGUAAAACACAGAGUGAAGACUUGGUGCGAAUGCUGAACGAGACGACAGCUGAGACAGCUGUUUUGGACAAUGUUUGGUGAUAAACAGCGAAAAUCGAUGCAUGAAAAAUGGCUGUCCGGGUAGUGACUUAAUUAAUCUAUCACAAAAGACAAAGUAUACUGUGCUAAAUGCGUUUUGUUUUGGCGCAUUGGUAGCAGUGACAAAGCCUUCAUAUUUGAGCUACCAGUGACAGAUUCGGAGAAUGUUUUCCUGGCUCAAAAAAAAGCACGUUAUAAAGAAUCCUGUCACCACGAUGUGUCGGCCCUACAGGGAAAUUAUACGAUAUAUCAAGACAGGAAAAACUAAUUGAAAAAAUGCAUCUCCUUACAUUCAAAAUAAGAUACUAGGAAUUUGCUCUAAUCAAAUAAGAGAAAAAUUGUAAGCGGACUGUAUAAAUGUUCCUUUCUUUUCCUUCAUUGCUGAUGAUUAGCGUUUAACGAAGAACUGGCAAGGAACGCAGUUUCAAAAGACGAAAUGGGGCAACGCACUAAAACGUAAACCCUUCUGAGACUCGGUGGUCAAGUCGAGCCGAUGCUCUCUGCACAAAAAAUAUCACGCUUCCAGUGAGAAUCCAUGCUCUGGAAACACUGCUGAAGAUGGAGAUGUGAAUAUGAAAAAACCCUAGAUACAAGAUCAAAGCAAACAGAAGAAAUACAAAAACAAAUUCAAGAGACAAAACAACAGCAUGAAAAAAUGAAAGAAGAAGAAGAACAAAAACAAAUUCAAUUGAAGAAACUGAAAGCGACCGUUGCA
Mercenaria mercenaria is the source of this 2669-nucleotide RNA transcript. It is a transcript of the gene named paramyosin-like, with no coding region annotated. The record is from RefSeq and is a predicted model, not a curated record. Lineage: Eukaryota; Metazoa; Mollusca; Bivalvia; Venerida; Veneridae. The transcript has 10 exons.